This 30-nucleotide non-coding RNA is filed under the name Rattus norvegicus (Norway rat). The record is from RNAcentral. Lineage: Eukaryota; Metazoa; Chordata; Mammalia; Rodentia; Muridae.
UGAAUCCACAAUCUUAGAAAACAGGUUCAA